RNAcentral lists this ribosomal RNA (1599 nucleotides) under Triticum aestivum (bread wheat). RNAcentral's name for it is "partial small subunit ribosomal RNA". The record is from RNAcentral. Lineage: Eukaryota; Viridiplantae; Streptophyta; Magnoliopsida; Poales; Poaceae.
AUGGGUAUGGGUGCCGCUGCCUUCUUCUACCUCCUGCUGUCCCUCUGGGCUCAGGAUGCAACCGCGGCUGACCUUGGCCUCACAAGAAGCGAUUUCCCACGGGAGUUCGUCUUUGGAUCUGGGACCUCGGCAUAUCAAUAUGAGGGUGCUGUUGCUGAGGAUGGCAGGAGCCCAAGCAACUGGGACACUUUCACUCACGCAGGCAGAAUGGCAGACAAAAGCACAGGAGAUGUUGCUGCAGAUGGGUACCACAAAUACAUGGAGGAUGUCAAGCUCAUGUCUGAGACAGGCCUAGAGGCCUAUAGGUUCUCCAUAUCCUGGUCAAGGCUCAUUCCAAGUGGACGCGGAGCUGUCAACCCCAAGGGGCUAGAGUACUACAAUAACCUCAUUGAUGAGCUAGUGAAUCAUGGAAUUCAAGUACACAUCACACUUCACCAUGUAGAUCUCCCUCAAGUUCUCGAAGACGAGUAUGGUGGAUGGUUAAGCCCCAAAAUUGUUGAAGAUUUCACAGCAUAUGCAGAUGUUUGCUUCAGGGAGUUCGGAAACAGGGUUGCAUCCUGGACAACUAUGGACGAGGCAAACAUCGGUGUACUUGGCUCUUAUGGCAAUGCUCUAUUUCCUCCUGGCCGUUGCUCAGAUCCAUUUGGAGCAACAAAGUGCACCGCUGGGGACUCUAGCAUCGAACCAUACAUAGCCGCUAAUAAUAUCCUUAUGGCGCAUGCAUCAGUUUUCAGACUGUACAGAGAUAAAUAUCAACACAAGCAGAAAGGAAUUGUUGGCAUAAAUAUCUACUCCUACUGGAGUUAUCCACUGACAAAUGCCACCGCGGAUCUAGAAGCAACUCAGAGAUGUAAAGAUUUCUUGUAUGGCUGGAUACUAGAGCCAUUGGUGUUUGGGGACUACCCACAAGUAAUGAAGAAGAAUGUCGGCUCUCGCCUUCCACCCUUCACAAACGUUCAGUCUGAACUUAUCAAGGGUUCCUUAGAUUUUAUUGGAAUAAAUCACUAUUUUUCUGUCUACGUGAAUGAUCGCCCUCUAGAUACAGGUGUUCGAGACUACACCGCAGACAUGUCAAUUGAUUCAAGAGGUUCUAGGACCGACCCGCCAGCUGGUCAGGGCCCCCCAACACACACUACAAGUGAUCCCAAAGGGUUGCAACUUGCACUGGAGUACCUGAAAGAAACCUAUGGGAACCUUCCCGUCUAUGUCCAAGAGAAUGGUAUGGGAUCUGCUGACGACAGUCUGGAUGACACCGACAGGAUCGGUUACCUGAGCAGCUACAUGGAGGGCACACUAGAGGCGAUGAGGAAUGGAGCCAACGUGGGAGGCUACUUCGCCUGGGCAUUCAUGGACCUGUUCGAGCUCCUGGCGGGGUACCAGUCAAGGUACGGACUGUAUCGGGUCGACUUCGCCGAUGAGAGGCGGCCGCGGCAAGCCAGGCUCUCGGCUCGCUGGUACUCCGGCUUCCUCAAGCACAACGGAACCUCUGCGCUCGCGUCGAGAGCGCAGAUUGAUGAGUUCGUGAUGUACGGAAAGAGAAUGCCUUGGAAAUACCGGUCAUACGAAAGAGGACUUAUUACUAUUGAGAUAUUGUGGUGA